GGACAUAAAUUACAUGUAGUGAAUAUGAAUCAACAGAGCGAUAGUACAGAUCUGCUUGGAGGGUUUAAACCAGUCGAUAUAAAGUUUCUAAUUUUACCGUUUAGAGAAGAAUUUGAAAUUCUUUUCUGUCAAAGUUUCUCCAGAAAACAAAAUGCCAAAUUUCUUGGACAUAUCCAGGAUUGUUUUUCGAAAAGAAAAUGGUCAGAUUUGCUACAGUUAAUUGAUCAUACAACAACAUCUGCUCUUAAAAAAUUCCAGAAAGAAGAAAUUUUGUUGUCCAAGUGGAAAACGAUUGAGCGACGUCAACAACAGUUAAAGAUCCAGAUAAAACAAACAGAAAAUGUUCUAGCUUUUACUUUUAUUGAGGGGACGUUAGUUAAAGCUAUUAAACAGGGUGAUUGGGUUUUAUUAGAUGAAAUAAAUUUAGCUUCAGCUGAGACUUUAGAAUGUUUGUGUGGACUGUUAGAAAGUACGACAGGUUCCAUUAUACUAACG
Molecule: long non-coding RNA, 495 nt
Organism: Patella vulgata (common limpet)
Lineage: Eukaryota; Metazoa; Mollusca; Gastropoda; Patellidae
Exons: 5
Source: RefSeq, a predicted model, not a curated record